UGAGCAUGAUGAUGAUUUAAAUACUUGGAAAGUUAUUUUGAGGUAUAAAACUGAGUUUUUGAAAACUGACUCAA
Cajanus cajan (pigeon pea) is the source of this 74-nucleotide non-coding RNA. The record is from Rfam. Lineage: Eukaryota; Viridiplantae; Streptophyta; Magnoliopsida; Fabales; Fabaceae.